Balaenoptera musculus (blue whale) is the source of this 140-nucleotide long non-coding RNA. RefSeq lists it as uncharacterized. The transcript is spliced from 4 exons. Lineage: Eukaryota; Metazoa; Chordata; Mammalia; Artiodactyla; Balaenopteridae. The record is from RefSeq and is a predicted model, not a curated record.
GCAUAUACACUUAGUCUUGUAAUUUCAGGCAAGUAAGUCUCAACACCAUUUUGUAUCUGUUUUUGUAUAAUCAGGAUAACACAGAUGUCCUGGCCUAUUGUAAAAGAAAAUUAUUGAAAAGGGAAAAUACUGAUUGCAGA